This 253-nucleotide ribosomal RNA is filed under the name uncultured bacterium. Its description in RNAcentral is "partial 16S ribosomal RNA". It matches the Rfam family "Bacterial small subunit ribosomal RNA", at positions 524 to 776 of the family's 1533-position model. The record is from RNAcentral.
UACGUAGGGGGCUAGCGUUGUCCGGAAUCAUUGGGCGUAAAGAGCGCGUAGGCGGCCAGAUAAGUCCGGUGUGAAAGUCACAGGCUCAACCUGUGAAUGCCGCUGGAAACUGUAUGGCUAGAGUCCGGAAGGGGCGAGUGGAAUUCCUGGUGUAGCGGUGAAAUGCGUAGAUAUCUGCAGGAACACCCGUGGCGAAAGCGGCGCGCUGGACCACUACUGACGCUGAGGAACGAAAGCUAGGGGAGCAAACAGG